Molecule: ribosomal RNA, 492 nt
Filed under: uncultured bacterium
Lineage: Bacteria
Description: partial 16S ribosomal RNA
Rfam family: Bacterial small subunit ribosomal RNA
Source: RNAcentral
AGUGAACGCUGGCGGUAGGCCUAACACAUGCAAGUCGAACGGCAGCACAGUAAGAGCUUGCUCUUACGGGUGGCGAGUGGCGGACGGGUGAGGAAUACAUCGGAAUCUACUUUUUCGUGGGGGAUAACGUAGGGAAACUUACGCUAAUACCGCAUACGACCUACGGGUGAAAGCAGGGGAUCUUCGGACCUUGCGCGAUUGAAUGAGCCGAUGUCGGAUUAGCUAGUUGGCGGGGUAAAGGCCCACCAAGGCGACGAUCCGUAGCUGGUCUGAGAGGAUGAUCAGCCACACUGGAACUGAGUCACGGUCCAGACUCCUACGGGAGGCAGCAGUGGGGAAUAUUGGACAAUGGGCGCAAGCCUGAUCCAGCCAUACCGCGUGGGUGAAGAAGGCCUUCGGGUUGUAAAGCCCUUUUGUUGGGAAGGAAAAGCAGCAGGUUAAUACCCCGCUGUUCUGACGGUACCCAAAGAAUAAGCACCGGCUAACUUCGUG